AGGUUGGCUGAAAGGCUCUGUAGUUAAUCACCUUCUCAAUGAUAUCACACCAGAUUAAAAGGUUGGCUGAAAGGCUCUGUAGUUAAUCACCUUCUCAAUGAUAUCACACCAGAUUAAAAGCUAUGGCAUCGGACACUGGGUGACAACGUCAUUGGUGGGCAUCUUCACAUUGGAACUGGGAGCCGCAGCAUCUACAUGUGGUGGUGGGAUGCUUUAUAAGGUAUAUUUAUGUAAUUUUGUAUUUAUCCUGACGACGAGGUGCAAAUAAAACUUUGAAA
Molecule: long non-coding RNA, 278 nt
Organism: Pseudophryne corroboree (corroboree frog)
Lineage: Eukaryota; Metazoa; Chordata; Amphibia; Anura; Myobatrachidae
Exons: 3
Source: RefSeq, a predicted model, not a curated record